AUGUUGUUAGUCCUAAGGGCGUUAGCUUUGAAGGGGCUAAAGGUUAAAAACAUA
Molecule: transfer RNA, 54 nt
Filed under: Lardoglyphus konoi
Lineage: Eukaryota; Metazoa; Arthropoda; Arachnida; Sarcoptiformes; Lardoglyphidae
Description: tRNA-Phe
Source: RNAcentral